Molecule: non-coding RNA, 301 nt
Organism: Nylanderia fulva
Lineage: Eukaryota; Metazoa; Arthropoda; Insecta; Hymenoptera; Formicidae
Source: RefSeq, a predicted model, not a curated record
AAAAAUAUGACAAUGAAAACACUGGAUUAACGACUAAAGAUUCAUGUACGAAUAAUACUUUAGGUACGAAUAAUAUUUUCUAUGAACUAACAAUAAUGUUCGUACGUUAUAUGGCAUGUGAUGUACUAAAAAAUUCUUGGGUAUGUAUGUUAUGCAAAAUAUAUGAGAAUAGGGUAAAAUACCCUAUCCCAAUAAAUCCUGUAAUAAGAUUGAUGAGCAAUAAGAUCUUUGGAUAAGGAAAGCAGUAAAAGAAGCAAUCAUACAGGUUAUAACUAUAUUUUAAUAUUAAGAAGGUUAUAAC